Syngnathus typhle (broad-nosed pipefish) is the source of this 4858-nucleotide long non-coding RNA. RefSeq lists it as uncharacterized. The record is from RefSeq and is a predicted model, not a curated record. NCBI's taxonomy places the organism in Eukaryota, Metazoa, Chordata, Actinopteri, Syngnathiformes, Syngnathidae. The transcript is spliced from 2 exons.
CCUAGUCAGGGCGAUGGCCGUGAAGCUGCCCGGAGUAAAAGAACGAAGAUGGAUUUUGCAUUCUUUUUGAGAUUGAACCAAAAUCUACUAAGAUGAAUUUCCAGAGUCUUCGAAUUGGACUUUGUCAAAUUUUAAGCUUCGAGGAAGGAAGAGGAGAAAGCCGCUCCGGCCAGGAAGGGGCAGUCGCCAAUUUUACUUUUUUGGCUACUCUCCUCACGGCCAGACCUUUUCCUCUUUUUUAAACAGAAUUCAGAUUUUGGGACAAAGGAGAGCCGAUCACUCGACUUGUUCAACCAAAUAGGAUUUUAGACCUUUAGUCUCCUCUCUUGUUCUGUGUGGGUCAGGUGAAGAACCUCCCAUCUAUCCAAGACUUGUACCUGUCCAGGACCAGGAAACGUGCAAGGAACAUCUCUACAGACCCUUCUCACCCAGGUUGCAGUCUGUUUGAACUACUCCCCUCUGGACGGCGUUACAGAGCUCGGUACGCCAAAAUCAGCAGACACAGAGACAGCUUCUUCCCCCAGGCUGCUCUGCUGAACUCACACCACUCUUAGAGUCUCAGAGUCAUUACUGUGCAAUAACAUCCUGCUCUCCACACCUUUUUGAAUUUGUCUACACUGUUUGUACUAUCUGUCCUCUCUGCAUCCAUUGCAGCCUGGUCAUCCUGAAAGAGGGACCUUCCCAUCUGUGGUCUCUUCUCAAGGUUUCUCAUUUCCCCUAGCUGUUUUGAGUUUUUCCUUGCCCUUUUGGGAGUUUAAGAUCAGGGGAUGUUUGAGAAUAUUUGCCAUUUUUCACAUGUCCUGUGUUGUUAGUCACCUAAAUGUUGAACAGAGGGUGUGAUUUACGGAAGUCAAAUUCCUUGUUUGGCACGCUCAAACAUGGCGAAUAAAAACUCUUGAAUCUUGAAGAAGGGGGACACGUUUAUUCUAUCAUGUUUAAGGCCUUUACGGGCGAGCCACACAGUGGAGUACUUUGAUGCAUGUGAUGGAAUAUUUUCCCGCAUAAAAAUUAUGGUUUUCCUGAAAGAUGCAAACUAUUUACUGUACCACUGCUUGAAGAAAGUGUCUCCUAAAAACUGUCAGCUGGUUAAUUUGAAUUAUUUUUUGUUUCAAUUUCAGAGUAAACUUUAAGUCCACCUUUAACUCGAAAAGGACUAACCAACUCAUCUUAAAUAACAACCAGUCCAUACCAUUACCCCGCAUCUAAUUUGAAGUGGUAGUAAUAAAAAUGUAGAUUUCAAAUCUUCUCAUCUUGGUGCAUUCAGCUGUUUAGUGGUGCAUGACAAUUUCUUAAUGUCUUAGAAUUCAAAAUCUCUAUUUGGGGACAUAUCUGAUAUGAGAUUGCAUGACAAUUUCUUAAUGUGUUAGAAUUCAAAAUCUCUAUUUGGGGGCACAUCUGAUAUGAGAUUAAAAUGCAAUUAAUUCGAUUAAUUAAUUACAAAUCCCGUCAUUUAUUAGAUUAUUUCUUUUACUCGGCUGACAACACUAAAUACUAUCCAGGAAUCCAGAUUGAGUUAGGUAGCAUAGUAGGUAGUCAUAGUAGAUAUUCCGGAACAGAGACAAGUGGAAAAAAUGUACGUUAACAGUUUGUAGUAUGCGUUUCUUCAAGCGGAACAAGACAAUAUUCAGUUUAUGUUGAUUAUAGCGGCACCAUAUGGACAAAAUCGAUAGUGUUUUGCCUAAAGUCGACCACAUUUCUCAUAAUGCCAGCGUGCAGUGUCAUGAUAUCUUGAGCGCUCGCUCAGUUGCAGUUGGAUUGAUUUACUCUUCUGCCGAGUGUGAAGUGGUCGCAUCAGGCUCGGUGGUCCUUCUUCUUUGGCCACUUCAACUUCAUGCUCUCAUAUAGGCUGGGUUUCCGCAACGCGAAGGCGGGGGCCUUGUCAAGUGCACCACCCUUGCCACACCGUAAAUCUACCAGAGGAUUCUAGUCAAUCAAAAUUUGUUCUGUACAUUGAUGAAGAAUGGAAAUAAUAGGAUGCAUGCAUACGCACCUACACACACAACCUUGUCUGUUUCUGUUAGUCAUACACACAAACACACUCCAAAAGACAUUUGUGCCUUUAGACAUGAAAACCAAAAUCCAGUAAUGCACACAGGUAGAGCCCGUAUGGACAGCACAAGUGCUUGUGUUUUCUGUAAUUAUCUGUAGUGGUACCUUUGUGAGUCAUUGACAGUUUCUCCAUUAGUUUUGAGAUAAGCCUCAGAAGACUGAAGCUGCCUGCUGUGUUUAUUAAAAUCAUCACAGCCCUUACUCAUUAAGUCAUUGCACACACUGAGUGCCAACAGCAAACAUAAAGCCAACCUCAAAAUGCAUUUGGAGACACAAGGACCUGUGUCAUGAAUAUAUGGUUAACCAAAACAUGAAUUCAUCUGUCUUUCCCUAGUUUUAACUUAACUUUUAACUUUAACUUUUAAUUUGUAAGUCUUCAUCAAAGAUGUACAUUAUUUAAUUGUACAAUUCUAAAUGUUUUCAUGUUCAUAUCUGCCAUAACCGAGUCCUGAUGUUCUCUCCAAAGGACAUGUUGUAAAAAAAUAAAUAAAAUCAUGUUUUGACUUUUUUUUUUGCUGUGGUAAUGUCACAAUUAUAUGGUGUAAAAAAAAAAAAAAUUCUAAAAAAAAAAAUAUAUCUGUGGGAUAUACAUUAAAUAAGACAGAUGAUAUGAACAAUGAGGACUGAAAUGGUGCAAAUUAACUGUUAUACAGAGGUGACCCACUUUUAAGUCAAGUCAAGUCAAGUCAAGUUUAUUUGUAUAGCCCCAAAUCACAAGCAGUCUCAAAGGGCUUCACAUAGACAAGGUUUUAAGGUUGACCUGCUACCUUUUUAGACAAUAUUUGUUUUAUUUCACAAUUUUAAGUUUACCUAUUUGUUGCUUUAGCAAGUCUUGGUAUUUUUACAUUAUUUCUACUCAAAAGAUACAUUGCUUCUAUUUGAUUUAUAUAUGUAAUGUAGGUAUUGUGUUUUUUUGUAAUUUUUGUGAUCUUUUUGUGCUACAGGACCAAUUAAUGCCCCUUUUAAUUGCUUUUUGGAUAUAAAUUCAUGAAUGGCAGCUCAACCAGGACAAAACUAAGGUUUUAGUUACUGGACUGACUGGACUGACUGGACUGACUGGGCGGACGGACUGACUGGGCGGACGGACUGACUGACUGUACUGACUGGGCGGACGGACUGACUUAAUGGACUGACUGGGCGGACGGACUGACUGGCCGGACGGACUGACGGACGGACAGACGGACGGACGGGACGACGGACGGACGGACCGACGGACCGACCGACCGACCGACCGUCUGUCCGACUGUCUGACUGUCUGACUGACUGACUGACUGACUGACUGACUGACUGACUGACUGAGUGCUAAUGGGACGUCAAACGCUUUGUGUGGCGGGCUCCAUCUAGUGUGGAAACUGAGAAGUGCAACAGAGUUGAGCUCAAGCUUCUUGUGCAGCCCAUAUUCAAUUAUGUUUCCAGAAUUUGCUAUGGGCCAAUAAAAACUGGACCGCCGGCCGCAGUUGGCCCGCGGGCCGUAGUUUGGACACCACUAAUGUAGAUAGAGAUAGAGAGUGGGUCAGUCAGUCAGUCGCUUGCUUCCUUGGUUUAUUGAACAUACAAACAUUAAAUGUUAAAAUUUGAGAAAAAAAAAAUAAUCUAUUGUAAAUUCUAAGUUGUUUACCUGAUGUUUACAUGACUACAUGAUGGAAGUACAAUGAACUUAUCUAGCCCCCAUCCCUAUGUUUUCUGUUAUAUUUCACUUAGAACAAAAAUGACACUGGCAGGCUAUACUAAAUUCUUCCCAAGGCUAUUGUAGACAGAACAGAAACGCAUUUCUAUUACCACACUAUUUCAUAAAGAGUCUAUAUUAUAGACGUAUGACACACACAAACACAUUACUGGUCCGUAGAUCAUUUGGUACCAGGCCGCACAAGAAAGCAUAAACAACUAGCAUUAUUUCUGUUUUAUUUAUUUGAGUCUGAAUGAUCUUUUAUUUUGAAAAAUGGACCAGAUUCUCGACUACACCUCGGUGAAAUGAACAUAACAUUACUCAUGUUUUGUUGGCACGAUGUUAUGAGGACGCUGCGACUAAAGUUACAUAGGUGUUCGCAUACCAGCUCAGUGGCCUAGUGGUAGAGUGUCCCCCCUGAGACUGGAAGGUUGUGGGUUCAAACCUCGGCCGGGUCAUACCAAAGACUAUACCCUGCUUGGCACUCAGAAUUAAGGGUUGGAAUUGGGGGGUUAGAUCACCAAAUGAUUCCCGAGCGCGGCACCGCUGCUGCUCACUGCUCCCCUCUCCCCCAGGGGAUGGAUCAAAAUCACAUGGGGAUGGGUUAAAUGCAGAGGACAAAUUUCACCACACCCAGAAGUGUGUGUGAGACGGUCAUUGGGACUUUAACUUUAAAAUACAUGAUUCCCACAUAAACUAAGGGUUUUCACUCUUUGUUCAAUCUCCUGCCCUCUGGGAAGAGGUACAGGAGCCUGCGCUCCCGCACCACCAGACUCACCAACAGCUUCAUUCUCCAGGCUGUUAGGAUCCUGAACUCUCUCCCCACUUCUGCGUAGCGUCCUGUACUUUUGCACUAUAUUCUGACUGUCCGUUGUAUGCACACUUGCUCCAUUUCUGCUCCUCUUAUUUAUUGUGUUAUUUGGGUAUUUAUUAUUUAUUCAUCACUCUUAUUUAUUCAUUGUUUGUGCCUUCUUGUUUUUACUAUUAUUAUUUUUUUUAUUUUUUUGUGUUGUUUACUUGUAUGUAUAUUGUGUACUGUCUUGUCACCGUGGGAUAGUGGGAACGUAAUUUCGAUUUCUUUGUGUCUUGGAAUGUGAAGAAAUUGACAAUAAAGCAGACUUUGGCUUUGACUUUGGUUAAAAA